UGGGCCCUCGAACUCCUGUGGCGGGAGGAUUCAGCCUGGAGCGCGGGUGCAUUUCGGCAUGUAUUCCGCUCGACGGAGACGGCCGACGAGACGCUUCCUACGCACCAGGUGCAUUUUCUUCCGUCCUUGGGACGUCGCAGCCGGUCGAGCAGUGCAAGCGAGACGGCCUGGAGGUCGGACUAUGGCAGGUGGCCGGUGGCGGUCUUUCGUCCGUCGUCGGUUGUUAGCCUUUUCGACAGUGGCUCGUCGCUCGACCGAGGUUGUGCGGUCCUUCGGGGCCGUCACGUCUCCUCCUCCGGAAAUCGGGAGACUCUCGAAGGUGGCCGUUGCCGUUCCUUCGUCGUUUGUGCUAAACGAAGGGAGUGGCUUCGGUUUCCGCUGGCGAUUGCGUGCCCGUCGGGGACUGGAGGCUCGCGGCGAGUAGGUCGGUGUCCCACCCGACCCGUCUUGAAACACGGACCAAGGAGUCUAACAUGUGCGCGAGUCAGUGGGUCUUGUUGAGGCCCAGGGGCGCAACGAAAGCGAGGUCCGUCAGGGCCAGUCGGGAUCCCCUUCCGUAUAGGGAGGGGCGCACCGACGACCUGUCCCGUCCGCUUCGACGGUGGGGUGGAGUUGGAGCGCACACGUUGGGACCCGAUAGACGGUGAACUAUGCCCGGGCAGGACGAAGCCAGAGGAAACUCUGGUGGAAGUUCGCAGCGGUUCUGACGUGCAAUCGAUCGUCAGACCCAGGUAUAGG
RNAcentral lists this ribosomal RNA (738 nucleotides) under Micaria guttigera. RNAcentral describes it as "partial large subunit ribosomal RNA". The stretch from base 459 to 738 matches the Rfam family "Eukaryotic large subunit ribosomal RNA", at positions 665 to 921 of the family's 3401-position model. The record is from RNAcentral. Lineage: Eukaryota; Metazoa; Arthropoda; Arachnida; Araneae; Gnaphosidae.